This is a long non-coding RNA of Puntigrus tetrazona (Sumatra barb), 472 nucleotides long. RefSeq lists it as uncharacterized. NCBI's taxonomy places the organism in Eukaryota, Metazoa, Chordata, Actinopteri, Cypriniformes, Cyprinidae. The record is from RefSeq and is a predicted model, not a curated record. The transcript has 3 exons.
CUCUGCUUGACAGACAGCUGUGCUACUAUGAAGAUCAGCUGGAUAAUGACCAAAGUCUAGAGGCCAUCUCUUUGAUGAAUCAUACAAGUGAAAGUGAGGUCAUCAUGCAGAAGAUGAGGGCAACGCUUGAAUACAGACAGCGCCUUGUCCAUGAUCCAGAGAGGUCCACCACUGUUCUUUCAGUUUUUCCUUGAUUUCUGGAUACUAAAGGAUUGAUUCUUCAAGACUUCACGCUCCUCUUUGGGUCUGAAACUGCUUCCAGACUUUUGGAAAGGUGGCCAACAGCUUUCAAAGCAAUCAUCUUCCAAUCUGAACAGAGAAGGCAGUGAAGCCCAGGAUUCUCCAGAAUGGGACAGUGACAUAUCUUCCUUCCUUCCUUCCUUCUACUCCUGCAUCUUUUAUGACCCCAGGCUUCAGGAAGAAAGAAAACCCAAAAGAUCAGUAUCUCUCAGGCUGUUGACCAAGAUGGCGC